Molecule: ribosomal RNA, 497 nt
Filed under: uncultured bacterium
Lineage: Bacteria
Description: partial 16S ribosomal RNA
Rfam family: Bacterial small subunit ribosomal RNA
Source: RNAcentral
GAUGAACGCUGGCGGCGUGCCUAAUACAUGCAAGUAGAACGCUGAAGGAAGGAGCUUGCUCUUUCCGGAUGAGUUGCGAACGGGUGAGUAACGCGUAGGUAACCUGCCUGGUAGCGGGGGAUAACUAUUGGAAACGAUAGCUAAUACCGCAUAACAGUAGAUGUUGCAUGAUAUCUACUUAAAAGGUGCAAUUGCACCACUACCAGAUGGACCUGCGUUGUAUUAGCUAGUUGGUGAGGUAACGGCUCACCAAGGCGACGAUACAUAGCCGACCUGAGGGGGUGAUCGGCCACACUGGGACUGAGACACGGCCCAGACUCCUACGGGAGGCAGCAGUAGGGAAUCUUCGGCAAUGGACGGAAGUCUGACCGAGCAACGCCGCGUGAGUGAAGAAGGUUUUCGGAUCGUAAAGCUCUGUUGUAAGAGAAGAACGAGUGUGAGAGUGGAAAGUUCACACUGUGACGGUAUCUUACCAGAAAGGGACGGCUAACUACGUG